Molecule: ribosomal RNA, 480 nt
Filed under: uncultured bacterium
Lineage: Bacteria
Description: SSU rRNA
Rfam family: Bacterial small subunit ribosomal RNA
Source: RNAcentral
AGGAUAAACGCUGGCGGCGUGCCUAACACAUGCAAGUCGAACGUCCUACGCAAGUAGGGAGUGGCGGACGGGUGAGUAACACGUGGGCAAUCUACCUUUCGGUGAGGAAUACCGGCGAGAAAUCGCCGACAAUACCGCAUACGCUUCGCAAGAAGCAAAGUCGCAAGACGCCGGAGGAGGGGCCUGCGCCCGAUUAGCUAGUUGGUGGGGUAAUGGCCUACCAAGGCGACAAUCCGUAGCUGGUCUGAGAGGACGACCAGCCACACCGGAACUGAGACACGGUCCGGACUCCUACGGGAGGCAGCAGUGGGGAAUAUUGGACAAUGGGGGAAACCCUGAUCCAGCGACGCCGCGUGUGUGAAGAAGGCCUGCGGGUUGUAAAGCACUUUUAGUGGGGACAAAAAGCUAUGGAUUAAUACUCUGUGGUCUUGAUUUAACCCAAAGAAAAGCACCGGCUAACUCUGUGCCAGCAGCCGCGGU